RNAcentral lists this long non-coding RNA (1003 nucleotides) under Fragaria vesca (wild strawberry). Its description in RNAcentral is "long non-coding RNA (FVES_LNC002944)". Lineage: Eukaryota; Viridiplantae; Streptophyta; Magnoliopsida; Rosales; Rosaceae. The record is from RNAcentral.
UCCACGGAAGCUCAGCAGAUACUCUCUACAGGCAUAGGCAUAUGGAACACAAAUCACAGAAGUUUGAUGCAUAAUUUCACUACUUUAGGAGCAUAUCCAUGGCAAUUGUUAAGACACUUGCAAGUAAGUAAUUAGUUCUAGACUUUGGUUUUCAUAAUUGUAAAAUUGGCCUGUAAUAAUUCUAUGGGCUUACUUUGCUUGGUCAGGUGGAACAUCCCGCAACCAUUCAAGAUCAACACUCCCAUGUUCUCUAAGUAGUCGGUUAAGGAAUUCCUGCACAAAUAUCUCAAUCAUGUUGGUGUGUACAGGUAAAUGAAUUUGUUAAUUAUAAUUUUACAUUAUAGUUAUAGGUACCUUGAUUCUUUCUGCAAGCAUAUUAUUCAUCCCCCUUUCUUUGAUAGUUUGGGCAAUGUCAUUCACAUUUGCAGUUCUUACAGCUUCCCAGUCCACGGAAUCCAUUGUGUUUGCUGUUUUUUCCCUUUUUCUUCCGUUUGGUUCUGCUCGUUCUCUUAAUUUGUCCCAGUCCUGCUGAGCCUUUUUGUCUUUUCCAGGUCUUCUGUUCUUUGUCUUUGAGGUAGCAGCAUCCUUUUUACUGACUUCGUUGAAGCUUAAAUCUGACUCAGGUCCCUUAUGCAUAAUAUCUGCGGUCUCUCCAGAAAUGUUGCAACUUUGCUGAAUCUUAUUUGUGUGCUUCUCAGUAGGUACGUAAACCUUAUUUGGGUUCCCACCAACCCUGAAUUGAGACAGAACCACAUUACUUUUUCCUUGAAUGCAAGUGCAUGAUUCACUGAAACAUCUCUGUGCAUCUUGAUCAUUGACAGUAAGCUUAAUACUUGUUGUAUCUUGACUCACAGAUUCUGCUGUUAGUACACUCUGUUCCCCCAGACUGUCUUCGUAAUUGUUCUUGAAAAUAUUAGAAGAAUGGAUUACCUCUUCAAUCAAUUCAGAGCACUCAACUUGCACUACUUCUGGGUUGGAGGUAUUAUGUACACAGCAAUUAUUG